This 390-nucleotide ribosomal RNA is filed under the name Paraphelidium sp. RNAcentral's name for it is "SSU rRNA". It matches the Rfam family "Eukaryotic small subunit ribosomal RNA", at positions 828 to 1220 of the family's 1831-position model. Lineage: Eukaryota; Fungi; Aphelidiomycota; Aphelidea; Aphelidiaceae. The record is from RNAcentral.
CUUUGGUUCUACUUUGUUGGUUUAAAGGACCAAGGUAAUGAUUAAUAGGGACAGUUGGGGGCAUUAGUAUUUCAGGGCUAGAGGUGAAAUUCUUGGAUUCCUGAAAGACUAACUACUGCGAAAGCAUCUGCCAAGGAUGUUUUCAUUAAUCAAGGACGAAAGUUAGGGGAUCGAAAACGAUUAGAUACCGUUGUAGUCUUAACCAUAAACUAUGCCGACUCAGGAUCAGUGAAUGUUUUUUUGACUUCAUUGGCACUGUAGGAGAAAUCAAAGUUUUUGGGCUCCGGGGGGAGUAUGGUCGCAAGGCUGAAACUUAAAGGAAUUGACGGAAGGGCACCACCAGGAGUGGAGCCUGCGGCUUAAUUUGACUCAACACGGGGAAACUCACCA